RNAcentral lists this ribosomal RNA (439 nucleotides) under uncultured bacterium. RNAcentral's name for it is "partial 16S ribosomal RNA". It matches the Rfam family "Bacterial small subunit ribosomal RNA", at positions 338 to 795 of the family's 1533-position model. The record is from RNAcentral.
CCUACGGGAGGCAGCAGUGGGGAAUAUUGCACAAUGGGCGAAAGCCUGAUGCAGCAACGCCGCGUGAGCGAUGAAGGCCUUCGGGUCGUAAAGCUCUGUCCUCAAGGAAGAUAAUGACGGUACUUGAGGAGGAAGCCCCGGCAAAGUACGUGCCAGCAGCCGCGGUAAUACGUAGGGGGCUAGCGUUAUCCGGAAUUACUGGGCGUAAGGGGUGCGUAGGUGGUUUCUUAAGUCAGAGGUGAAAGGCUACGGCUCAACCGUAGUAAGCCUUUGAAACUGGGGAACUUGAGUGCAGGAGAGGAUAGUGGAAUUCCUAGUGUAGCGGUGAAAUGCGUAGAUAUUAGGAGGAACACCAGUUGCGAAGGCGGCUCUCUGGACUGUAACUGACACUGAGGCACGAAAGCGUGGGGAGCAAACAGGAUUAGAUACCCGGGUAGUC